Molecule: ribosomal RNA, 253 nt
Filed under: uncultured bacterium
Lineage: Bacteria
Description: partial 16S ribosomal RNA
Rfam family: Bacterial small subunit ribosomal RNA
Source: RNAcentral
UACGGGGGGGGCAAGCGUUGUUCGGAAUUACUGGGCGUAAAGGGCUCGUAGGCGGCCAACUAAGUCAGACGUGAAAUCCCUCGGCUUAACCGGGGAACUGCGUCUGAUACUGGAUGGCUUGAGGUUGGGAGAGGGAUGCGGAAUUCCUGGUGUAGCGGUGGAAUGCGCAGAUAUCAGGAGGAACACCGGUGGCGAAGGCGGGUCUCUGGGCCGUUACUGACGCUGAGGAGCGAAAGCGUGGGGAGCGAACAGG